Molecule: transfer RNA, 69 nt
Filed under: Ictidomys tridecemlineatus (thirteen-lined ground squirrel)
Lineage: Eukaryota; Metazoa; Chordata; Mammalia; Rodentia; Sciuridae
Description: Spermophilus tridecemlineatus (thirteen-lined ground squirrel) tRNA
Rfam family: tRNA
About the family: Transfer RNA (tRNA) molecules are approximately 80 nucleotides in length. Their secondary structure includes four short double-helical elements and three loops (D, anti-codon, and T loops).
Source: Rfam by way of RNAcentral
GGGGUUGUGGCUUAGUGGUAGAGCACUUGUGUAGCACACAUGAGGCACUGGGUUCAAUCCCCAGCACCA